GCCGGGGUGGUGGAAUUGGUAGACACGCAAGACUUAAAAUCUUGUGACCCUUGGGUCGUGCGGGUUCAAGUCCCGCCCCUGGUACAA
Molecule: transfer RNA, 87 nt
Filed under: Microscilla marina ATCC 23134
Lineage: Bacteria; Pseudomonadati; Bacteroidota; Cytophagia; Cytophagales; Microscillaceae
Description: tRNA-Leu
Rfam family: tRNA
About the family: Transfer RNA (tRNA) molecules are approximately 80 nucleotides in length. Their secondary structure includes four short double-helical elements and three loops (D, anti-codon, and T loops). Further hydrogen bonds mediate the characteristic L-shaped molecular structure. tRNAs have two regions of fundamental functional importance: the anti-codon, which is responsible for specific mRNA codon recognition, and the 3' end, to which the tRNAs corresponding amino acid is attached (by aminoacyl-tRNA synthetases). tRNAs cope with the degeneracy of the genetic code in two manners: having more than one tRNA (with a specific anti-codon) for a particular amino acid; and 'wobble' base-pairing, i.e. permitting non-standard base-pairing at the 3rd anti-codon position.
Source: RNAcentral